Molecule: long non-coding RNA, 762 nt
Organism: Oncorhynchus tshawytscha (Chinook salmon)
Lineage: Eukaryota; Metazoa; Chordata; Actinopteri; Salmoniformes; Salmonidae
Source: Ensembl
GAGGAGGUGAGGGCCCUGGCGGAGUGGACAGUCUACAGUGAGGAGGUGAGGGCCCAGGUGGAGUGGACAGUCUACAGGGAGGAGGUGAGGGCCCUGGCGGAGUGGUCAGUCUACAGUGAGGAGGUGAGGGCCCUGGCGGAGUGGAUAGUCUACAGUGAGGAGGUGAGGGCCCAGGCGGAGUGGUCAGUCUACAGGGAGGAGGUGAGGGCCCUGGCGGAGUGGACAGUCUACAGGAAGGAGGUGAGGACCCUGGAGGUGUUUUCGGUCUACGGUGAGGAGGUGAGGGCCCAGGUGGAGUGGACAGUCUACAGGGAGGAAGUGAGGGCCCUGGCGGAGUGUUCAGUCUACAGUGAGGAGGUGAGGGCCCAGGUGGAGUGGACAGGCUACAGGGAGGAGGUAAGGGCCCUGGCGGAGUGUUCAGUCUACAGGGAGGAGGUGAGGGCCCUGGCGGAGUGGUCAGUCUACAGGGAGGAGGUGAGGGCCCUGGCGGAGUGGUCAGUCUACAGGGAGGAGGUGAGGGCCCUGGCGGAGUGGACAGUCUACAGGGAGGAGGUGAGGGCCCAGGCGGAGUGGUCAGUCUACAGGGUGGAGGUGAGGGCCCUGGCGGAGUGGUCAGUCUACAGGCAGGAGGUGAGGGCCCUGGCGGAGUGGACAGUCUACAGGGAGGAGGUGAGGGCCCAGGCGGAGUGGUACCAUGAAAAUAACCUCAACAUCAACAAAAAAAAAGAGCUGAUCGUGUCCAGGAGACAACAGAGACAGCAC